Molecule: ribosomal RNA, 698 nt
Filed under: Lactiplantibacillus plantarum
Lineage: Bacteria; Bacillati; Bacillota; Bacilli; Lactobacillales; Lactobacillaceae
Description: bacterial SSU rRNA
Rfam family: Bacterial small subunit ribosomal RNA
Source: RNAcentral
UGGUGCUUGCAUCAUGAUUUACAUUUGAGUGAGUGGCGAACUGGUGAGUAACACGUGGGAAACCUGCCCAGAAGCGGGGGAUAACACCUGGAAACAGAUGCUAAUACCGCAUAACAACUUGGACCGCAUGGUCCGAGUUUGAAAGAUGGCUUCGGCUAUCACUUUUGGAUGGUCCCGCGGCGUAUUAGCUAGAUGGUGGGGUAACGGCUCACCAUGGCAAUGAUACGUAGCCGACCUGAGAGGGUAAUCGGCCACAUUGGGACUGAGACACGGCCCAAACUCCUACGGGAGGCAGCAGUAGGGAAUCUUCCACAAUGGACGAAAGUCUGAUGGAGCAACGCCGCGUGAGUGAAGAAGGGUUUCGGCUCGUAAAACUCUGUUGUUAAAGAAGAACAUAUCUGAGAGUAACUGUUCAGGUAUUGACGGUAUUUAACCAGAAAGCCACGGCUAACUACGUGCCAGCAGCCGCGGUAAUACGUAGGUGGCAAGCGUUGUCCGGAUUUAUUGGGCGUAAAGCGAGCGCAGGCGGUUUUUUAAGUCUGAUGUGAAAGCCUUCGGCUCAACCGAAGAAGUGCAUCGGAAACUGGGAAACUUGAGUGCAGAAGAGGACAGUGGAACUCCAUGUGUAGCGGUGAAAUGCGUAGAUAUAUGGAAGAACACCAGUGGCGAAGGCGGCUGUCUGGUCUGUAACUGACGCU